This 253-nucleotide ribosomal RNA is filed under the name uncultured bacterium. RNAcentral's name for it is "partial 16S ribosomal RNA". It matches the Rfam family "Bacterial small subunit ribosomal RNA", at positions 524 to 776 of the family's 1533-position model. The record is from RNAcentral.
UACGUAGGCAGCGAGCGUUGUUCGGAGUUACUGGGCGUAAAGGGUGUGUAGGCGGUUGUUUAAGUUUGGUGUGAAAUCUCCCGGCUCAACUGGGAGGGUGCGCCGAAUACUGAGCGACUAGAGUGCGGGAGAGGAAAGCGGAAUUCCUGGUGUAGCGGUGAAAUGCGUAGAUAUCAGGAGGAACACCGGUGGUGUAGACGGCUUUCUGGACCGUAACUGACGCUGAGACACGAAAGCGUGGGUAGCAAACAGG